GCGCAUGUGGUGGAAUUGGAAUACACGCUGGCCUCAGAAGUCAGUGCCGAAAGGAUUGAGAGUUCAAGUCCCUCCGUGCGCACCA
RNAcentral lists this transfer RNA (85 nucleotides) under Undibacterium sp. KW1. RNAcentral describes it as "tRNA-Leu". It matches the Rfam family "tRNA". Rfam says of the family: Transfer RNA (tRNA) molecules are approximately 80 nucleotides in length. Their secondary structure includes four short double-helical elements and three loops (D, anti-codon, and T loops). The record is from RNAcentral. Lineage: Bacteria; Pseudomonadati; Pseudomonadota; Betaproteobacteria; Burkholderiales; Oxalobacteraceae.